GGUAUCAUGACCGUGCGAAGGUAGCAUAAUCAUUAGUCUCUUAAUUGGGGGCUGGAAUGAAUGGUUGGACGAGAAAUUAGCUGUCUUAGUUUUGAAAAUUGAAUUUAACUUUUAAGUGAAAAGGCUUAAAUGGGCUAGAGGGACGAUAAGACCCUAUAAAGUUUGUACAUUAAACUAAUUUAAGGCGGUUUGGGUUUAUAAAGUUUGUCAUUAGGAAAGUGUUUAGUUGGGGCGAUUGGGAUAUAAGUUAUAUAACUGUUUCUUUGUUUGAAUCAAAAAUAUUUGAGUUUAUGAUCCUUUUUUAGGAUUAAAGAGUAAAUUACUUUAGGGAUAACAGCGUAAUUUUUUUUGAGAGUUCUUAUCGAUAAGAGAGUUUGCGACCUCGAUGUUGAAUUAAAAUUUC
This 403-nucleotide ribosomal RNA is filed under the name Cherax dispar. RNAcentral describes it as "partial 16S ribosomal RNA". It matches the Rfam family "Archaeal large subunit ribosomal RNA", at positions 2012 to 2615 of the family's 2987-position model. The record is from RNAcentral. Lineage: Eukaryota; Metazoa; Arthropoda; Malacostraca; Decapoda; Parastacidae.